Molecule: non-coding RNA, 69 nt
Organism: Podarcis lilfordi (Lilford's wall lizard)
Lineage: Eukaryota; Metazoa; Chordata; Lepidosauria; Squamata; Lacertidae
Source: the annotation of a GenBank genome assembly
ACCUGACUCAGUCAGUGAAGCAUGAGACUCUUAAUCUCAGGGACGUGGGUUUGAGCCCCAUGUUGGGCA